RNAcentral lists this ribosomal RNA (253 nucleotides) under uncultured bacterium. RNAcentral's name for it is "partial 16S ribosomal RNA". It matches the Rfam family "Bacterial small subunit ribosomal RNA", at positions 524 to 776 of the family's 1533-position model. The record is from RNAcentral.
GACAGAGGGUGCAAACGUUGUUCGGAAUUACUGGGCGUAAAGCGUGUGUAGGCGGCUAGGUAAGUCGGAUGUGAAAGCCCCGGGCUCAACUCGGGAAGUGCACUCGAUACUGCUUAGCUCGAGUACCGGAGAGGUUGGUGGAAUUCUCGGUGUAGAGGUGAAAUUCGUAGAUAUCGAGAGGAACACCGGUGGCGAAGGCGGCCAACUGGACGAGUACUGACGCUGAGACACGAAAGCGUGAGGAGCAAACAGG